UCUUCUUGUGUGCUCGUUUCUCUUAGAAUAAGAACGCCGCACGGAAAAACGGUCUAAACGAAAGCUUCGUGGCACUAUAAAUUUAUGAGAAUUAUAAAUAAAAAUAAUUUUAACAACAACAACCGAAAGCUACCAAGCACUUGAACGGUGUCGAGUCAUUUAAGUGACGCGCGUUUUUUUUGGUUUUUGACAUUACACAUUAAAGUGUAUAAAAUAUGACAGACACAGCGGUGUAGGAAAAAAAGUGUGUUCAACCUGAAACAGAAAUAAUUUCGAAUGUGAUGAGGCUAGUAGUGUGGUGAUAUAUUUAUUUAUUUACCUGUAAUAUUUAUAUUGACAUCUGCUCUUAACGUUAAUGACGACUACAACUAUCCACAACAAUUAAAACAAUAACAAAAACAAGUGUAAUUAAAAACAAAACAAUUAUAGAAGUAACAAAACGAAUACGAAUGAGUAAAUUGAUAAAUAAAUAAAAUGAGGAACACACUCAUUUAACAACGAAUAUUUAAGUAAAUUAUAAAAGCAAAAAAACAACAAAAAUUAAAGAAUUUAAAUGAAAAUCACAACAUCCACAGCAACAGCAUCUAUAACCUGCAUAAAAAAUUACCUGUAUCAACAAAUGUUUAAGAUAAUUGAGCACCGUGUGCAAAAAAGCGAAUAAAAAAAGAAUAACACAACGAAGAAGAAAUAUAAACAGCUUAACGACUUUUUAUGGAGGAAUAUAAAACAAGAAAAGAUAUAAAACCAAAUAGGAGAAAUCAACAAAGUCUUAAUAACAAUAUUACUUCCUACCAAAAAUAAAUCCACUUACAUCACUGCUCACACACACACACACAACAACCAACCCACCCACCACAUCCUUUAUUAGAAGAGCAAAUACACAGUAGAACGAACUGAUUGCGCUUGAAUGAGUGGGUUUUAGAAUAAAAAUAUGUGUAACGAUGGCAAAUGUGAAGCAUAAACCAACAACUAACUAAACCAGCACCAGUGGGAAAAAGGAAUAACAACAACAACCUACAACUAUUAAACAAGGAUAACGGCAGCCAUUGAAAUAAACAAACAAUCGAAUACAAACAAUACGAAUACACAACCACAUACAAUACAACAAUACACACGAAUACAAACUAACGAGGAGUCCCAUUGUUUUGCUUUGCUUAGUUCGGCUGUGGGGUCGAGCAGAGAUCGUGUGUGAAGAGGUGAACGAACAUUAGCAACACUACCAAAGAGAAGAGAAAAAGAGGUGAAAAGGCAGCUUUUAACAAAAGUUCAAUGCAGUUUUAUGAAGAACAGGUUUAUAUGUAUGAAUGCACGUUUAUGCUCAAGUAAAGCUUCCCUAUUAUUUAAAGACAACAACUACACUCUCUGCCUCUCUCACACACAGCUAUGGUAAUAACGGCUCGUUAAUUUUCCCGUUAGAAUGCGUGUCAAUGUAUGUAUGUGUGUAAAUACAUGUAAGAGACAAGUACAUAUGUGUGUGUGGCUGGAAUUUAAAUGAAUUGCAUGUGUCUAAGUGAGAAAUGGUGUUCAAUGCGGCUUAAAUCAAACAUGCAAACAGCAUACGACAACAAUUCACAUGUGCAACUAUAAAAUAUUGCAACUGGGUUUUGCAACUAACAGUUUUUAGUAUUUUAAACUCAAUUGUCCUGUAACAAAUAAAAUAUUCUACAACAAUUUCUGCAGUUACAUAAACACGUAAACAUUUAAAUGCUCACACUCUCGGCACUAUUGUGUGUAUCUACAAUAAUAAUAAUAAUUAAUAAGUGUUUAAAUGAAAAUUUGGUAAAAAUUAAAAAUCCACUGCAAAUUAAAACUACACCACUGAGAAUUUUAAUUAAAUUCUACUUAAAUACAAAACAGCGACAACGAGCCACAGAAAAAAUAUUACAAUAGUUGACAAUAAAUGUCUAGAGGCCACAAAAUAAAUGUUAAACUAUUUAGUUUCGCCAACAAUACUACUCGACUGCAAUACAAAAACAAAAUAGAAAACUGAAGGACAACAACAGCAACAGCCACAGUGCUGAAGUGAAAGAUAGAUACAAAACGAGAACAGUUACAACAAAAUAUAAUAAUAGAAUUUAACUAGAAAUGCCAGGAAAAACAUAAACACACGCACAUACAGAGAUUGUCAAUGGAAUGCAUAAAUUGCAAGUCAACAUCAUCAGUUCACUUGACAGCAAAAAUAAUAACAAUAACAACAUCAUCAUCAUCAUCAAGAGAACAGAACAAUACAAUAAUAUUCAAAAUCUACAAUACUUAGUGACAGCAAACAAUAUUGCAUUGCAACUAAAAACGAAAGAAAAAAGAAACUAGCAACAUUUUAUUCUUAAAUAUCAAAUAACAAGUUUUUAUCCUAAAUUGGUUCGCUUAAAGAAAUUACUUUCAAAGAAAUUCGCAUUUUCCCGCAAAACUCAAGAAAACUGAAUUAAAUAGAGAGAGAGAAUGAAUGAAAAAAAACAUUCGCAUAAAAUAUUAAACGAAAAGUUCUUAAGUUUCCAGGUUGUAUUUCUUUAAAGAAAUCUCGCACAAUUUCUCAAAAAGUAAAAAAACAAAAUAGAAUAACACAUUGAAUAUUUAACAAAAAAGAAUUCAAAAUAACUAAAAGUUGGAAAGUGCUAAGAGAUUGUUGUGAUAUAUAGAGUUUUAAGAAUAACUGUUAGCUGAAAUUAAACAAAGUUUAUUUUUUGUAACUAAAACAAGUGAAAAGCUUUAAGCUUAUUGGCUUAGUAACUUUUAUAACAAGGAAGCUUAAAGUUUGUUUUUUGUAAAAAGUUAAAAAUUAAA
Long non-coding RNA from Calliphora vicina (urban bluebottle blowfly), 2781 nucleotides. RefSeq lists it as uncharacterized. Lineage: Eukaryota; Metazoa; Arthropoda; Insecta; Diptera; Calliphoridae. The record is from RefSeq and is a predicted model, not a curated record. The transcript has 3 exons.